Molecule: long non-coding RNA, 1241 nt
Organism: Beta vulgaris subsp. vulgaris (sugar beet)
Lineage: Eukaryota; Viridiplantae; Streptophyta; Magnoliopsida; Caryophyllales; Amaranthaceae
Exons: 2
Source: RefSeq, a predicted model, not a curated record
GCACCGUUUUUUCACACACUCUCAUUCCUCUGUUCUCUUAAGCGUUCUUCUCCUUCAUUCGUUUCUCUCAGUUCAUAUUCCUCAAUCUUUCUCUCCUCUCUAGAUCUCCAUCCUCCUCUAUCAUUUCACACUUCGCAUCACCCUUUCUCACACCUAUUUUCUCUCUCCUCUUCAAUUAUCUUAAUCUUCUUCUCUUUCUUUCCCAGAAUUUUGUUAUUUAAUGUGAGAUACUUUUUCUGUGUUAGAACUGACGAUCUAAGUGACUGAUUUGUUUGUUUGACUGUGAAUUUGGUAUUCAAUUGACUACUUUCUUCAUGGGUAUGUUAGAUUUUGGGACUUUUUGAUGAAUUUGUUGGGGAGUAUUUGAAAUCGUUGGUGGGUCUGUUUCUCGUCAUUCUUCUCCUCGUUGAGUCCCAUCGUUCUUCUCCUCGUUGUCGUUCUCUUCAAUUCGUUAAAUAUCUAUUCUCCUACUCUCCAUCAUCUACAUCCGCUCCUCAAAUGGCUACUAAUGGCGUUGUACCGGUCGUCGAGUCCUCGUCGUACGUCUCCCCUCUCUUUCCUUUCAUCGUCGCCGGUGGCCAAACACGAACGGCCAAGCACAAUGUCCUCCGACUACGGUCGGCUACUUGAUUCGUGGGUUGGUGGGUUGUCGUCGCUCGUGGUUGGUGGCCAAACACAGAUUUCUUUUGCUAAUGUAAAAAAUGGAGGUUCCUACUCUGUUACGUUGUUGAACCUGCUUCGGUCCGCUACUUGGUUCGUGGCCAUGGCUUUUGGUUUUCGUUCGUGUCUUGCAACUUUAUUAUUUAUCUUUUCAUUUUUGUAUGUAAUUAGUUUCAAUUCUUUCUUUAGUUUUAGUUAUGUUUUCUUAUUAUGUUACGAGAUUGUCUAGGCAACCAACCGUUUGAGUCUCUUAGGGGACUCAAACGGGGGCAAUUUGGUCAUUUUAAGCCUUGGAAAUUUCACGCGCGUGUUGCUUGGUACCAAUGCUAGGUUAUAUUGGUACCAUUGUCCGAAAAUUUUGAUAUCAAAGUAAGUUUGCUUGGUACCAAUCCUGAUAACAAUUUGAUACCAAUAUCAGGUUAUAAUGGUACCAUUGUGUAACUUUUUGAGUGUUUGAGUCUUUUUUGGACUCAAACAGUUGGUUACGAAGGCUUUCUCAUUAUGUUACCGAUCUGCUUUUUUCAUCUGUCAGAUAUUGUAACUUUUUCUGCUUAAUGCAUGAAUACAAUGUGUUGUAACUA